UCCAGACUCCUACGGGAGGCAGCAGUGGGGAAUAUUGCACAAUGGGGGAAACCCUGAUGCAGCGACGCCGCGUGAGUGAAGAAGUAUUUCGGUGUGUAAAGCUCUAUCAGCAGGGAAGAAAAUGACGGUACCUGACUAAGAAGCCCCGGCUAACUACGUGCCAGCAGCCGCGGUAAUACGUAGGGGGCAAGCGUUAUCCGGAUUUACUGGGUGUAAAGGGAGCGUAGACGGCAUGGCAAGUCAGAUGUGAAAGCCCGGGGCUCAACCCCGGGACUGCAUUUGAAACUGUCAGGCUGGAGUGCAGGAGAGGUAAGUGGAAUUCCUAGUGUAGCGGUGAAAUGCGUAGAUAUUAGGAGGAACACCAGUGGCGAAGGCGGCCUGCUGGACUGCAACUGACGUUGAGGCCCGAAAGCGUGGGGAGCAAACAGGAUUAGAUACCCCUGUAAA
RNAcentral lists this ribosomal RNA (447 nucleotides) under uncultured bacterium. RNAcentral describes it as "bacterial SSU rRNA". It matches the Rfam family "Bacterial small subunit ribosomal RNA", at positions 330 to 793 of the family's 1533-position model. The record is from RNAcentral.